CAACUGUGGGCAUAUUGAUCAGAUAAGCCACUGAUAACGGGUGUAGAUCCGUCUAAACAGCACACUAUACCUCUAAAACAGAUGUAGACCAACAAAAGUUUCCCAAGGAAUCCCAAGGAAACCCGCUGACUUUGGUGUAUUUGUGAAGGACCACCUCAUGCCAAUACGACUACAGUCCAGGAAUUACCGAGUUCCGCAUAAGCGUUAUCCAGUGACGCACAAGAUUGGGCGAGAGUCGGAACAACUGCUGUGUCGGUUACAGCGACCCGUCCACUAACGUUUAUCCAACCUUCCACUCAAGUGAACAGUAGACUUUUUAUUGUGGCAUCUUAUCAACAGUAACAAGAUGUCAUUUAUCUUGAUUCCUGCCCACUGUGUUCAAGGGACUUUAGUUAAGCCAGUUAUCGCUGAUGAAUAUUAACUAAAUCUCGCCAUAAGACAUCGCCAAGUUCUGUGCAUCCCCUCCCCAACCCCCAACGCCCGCACCUACACACGCACACACGCGUACCAGUUGUGGAACUGAAUGCUAGAAAACAUGGUCAUUCAUUGUAUAUUGUCAUGCAAACGUGCAUAUUCGUAGGUAAUUGGUCAGUGUUGAUGUGUUGGUACCAUGACGUGCUAGGUGCUGAUCACGUUCCGUGAACAAAUACACGCACGUUUACACAGUUCCGUUAUUGUUGUUUACUGGCUGAUCAGCAUCGUUAUUGAUUAUUGAUUUAUUUUACUUUCUGUACAUCAUGAAAGUAAACACACAUCACAGGAAAUUGGUCACAAAAGUCGAGAUGGUUCUACACAUAACAGAGUGGAGGCGUAUAUUGCCUGCUCCAGGCAAGUGAAGGUACAUGUCUACACUGACGUCUAGGUUGAUGCCCUACCAACAGGCCUUGAUAGUGACAAACACCUGACCAUAUCAUAUGUGAUCUGGGAAUAACAUGUAUGUACUGAA
Haliotis rubra (blacklip abalone) is the source of this 946-nucleotide long non-coding RNA. RefSeq lists it as uncharacterized. The transcript has 2 exons. The record is from RefSeq and is a predicted model, not a curated record. NCBI's taxonomy places the organism in Eukaryota, Metazoa, Mollusca, Gastropoda, Lepetellida, Haliotidae.